This 253-nucleotide ribosomal RNA is filed under the name uncultured bacterium. RNAcentral's name for it is "partial 16S ribosomal RNA". It matches the Rfam family "Bacterial small subunit ribosomal RNA", at positions 524 to 776 of the family's 1533-position model. The record is from RNAcentral.
UACGGAGGAUCCAAGCGUUAUCCGGAAUCAUUGGGUUUAAAGGGUCCGUAGGCGGCCUUAUAAGUCAGUGGUGAAAUCCCAUCGCUCAACGAUGGAACUGCCAUUGAUACUGUAGGGCUUGAAUUAUUGUGAAGUAACUAGAAUAUGUAGUGUAGCGGUGAAAUGCUUAGAUAUUACAUGGAAUACCAAUUGCGAAGGCAGGUUACUAACAAUUGAUUGACGCUGAUGGACGAAAGCGUGGGGAGCGAACAGG